Molecule: long non-coding RNA, 2000 nt
Organism: Mangifera indica (mango)
Lineage: Eukaryota; Viridiplantae; Streptophyta; Magnoliopsida; Sapindales; Anacardiaceae
Exons: 2
Source: RefSeq, a predicted model, not a curated record
AAAAUUGUAAACAAUAAAAAAAGCACAAAAAAAAAAGUGACAGUCUAUCUCUCCUUCGUCGUCGUCGUCUCUCUCAGUGAAAAGAAAGAGAAAGAGAGAGGAGAAAGAGAGUGACGUACGGCAAUGGCCUUGCAGAGAGUAUAAUGCACCUCUUAUUAUUUACCAGUAGGGGACCAGCAGCUAAUUCAUCUCUGUUCAGUUAUCUUUAUCUUAUCAUCAUUUUCCAUUAAAUGUGCUUGGUAGGUCCACAAUGUUAAUUAUAUCAAAUCCUCUUAGUUGCAGGACAUUUUUUUUUCUUGCUUGAAACUUUGCGGCUACUACCUCUUUGCUAAUUAUCAUCAUGUUUGUGAAGUUUGGCAUUUGGCAUUUGGCAUUUGGCAAUGGUAAUGAAUUUUACAUCUUGAAUAUGCACAAUAUGGUUUCUGGGUUACCAAAUGUUUUGCGUAAUGAUGGUAGGAAAGUUCUUAUUCUGAUUCAGAGUUAAUGAUUCUUAGCUCGAGCUAGAUUUGUGGUGUGAUAUUGUUUAGUGAGGAUUUAACAAAUUCUAGAGAUUUUAUAUGAUGAAUGGGGUCUUUGUGAGAUUGUGUCUUGCCUUUUGUUUUUAUUUUUCUUGAUGAUUUUGAUGACAGUUAUAUGGAUGCUAAUGUUUCCGCAAAUCUUAUUGACCAGAUGUUGUGCUUAGGGAUUUAGUUCUCUUAAUGUAAAUUAGAAGUGACACCAAUCUACAUAUACUUUGCUAAGGAAGAAAGAGAGAUGUUGGUGAAACUUUUCAACUAUCAUAUGUUAAUAGAAAAAAAAAAAAAAAGAGAAAACCCAAAUGCUUCAAGUUUCGAAUUGAUUUGCUUUAUGUUGCAGCCAGCCAAAGUGCCAAAGUUCGAAAGUUCCUGAAUUGCUGUCAUGUCUGUUAACUUUUGACCCUUAUUUUGUUUUCUUAUAAUUUGUGCAUUGGUUUUGGUAUGUCAGUUUUUCUGAAAUCCCAUUGUAUUGUUUUUCUCCAUUUGCUUAGUGAUCCUUUUGACAAUUGAUUCAUUUUGUUUGAAGUAAUUAUUUGGGAGGCGUUUCUGGCUAGAGAUUUUCAUCUGCUUUAGCAUUUGGUAAAGUUGAAUUCAGUGCUACCCUCCUGUUUGACUGGAAAGUAUAUGAGUCUCAUUUUAACUACUUCUUUUACUGUGAGUGGAAUUGCUUUUGUACAAUUGUUUUUUGAGUAAAAAUGCAGCACAUGAAAGUGCUUUCUACCUAUUAAUUGCUUCCCAAAAAAGUACUUCUAUGCUGUAAAGAGCAAUGUCUCUCAGAACAGUAGUAUCUAAUGCCUCACCAGAAAAAGCACUUUAUUUCUUUUUAUACCCAAACACAUUUUUCAAAAGUUCUUUUUACCCAUUUCAUGGCAAUUCAAUGUUGCCAAAACCAUUUCAAAUACAUGUAAAUUAUUCAUAAACCUCAAAUGAUUGAUUGCAUCAACAUGAGUAUGCAAGCAAUUCCAUUAACUCUGGUUGUUAGUAAUUGAAAACAGAGAAAAAAUGAGAGCUGGGAUUCUUCCCAUUUUGUUUUUUCUCAUCUUUUUUUUUUAAAUUGUUAUUUUGUUUUGGGCAUUUUUACACAUAGGCAUGGAUGAUGGAGAAAUAAAUUCUCUGCCGUUACCAAGUCAAUUCUUUGAAGAAGGAGCUGGUCAAAAGUGGUGUGUGUAAGUUGUAAUUCUGUAUGGGAAUAGAAAAACAAUUUAAUAAAGUUGAAGUUUGGAAAAAUAGUUUCCAAGUGGGAGACAUGCCCAUGUCAUUGCUUCAUCAAAGUAAGGGCAAAAGCAACAGUUACAGAGUAAGUUACAAUGGUUGAUUUUGUACUGGUAGUGGGAAUCUGGUAUCAAAUUCCUAGUACCAAUAUUUUAGAAUCAAAUCAAAUCAAUUUGGAAAUGAUUCCAAAGUCUUGAAUAGAAACAUUUCAAGUGUUUCGCUCCAAAAGAAAUGGACAGAAUCCCAGGUUGAGCUAAGCUAAGUUAAAGGAUA